UGGGGAAUCUUGCACAAUGGGGGCAACCCUGAUGCAGCGACGCCGCGUGAGCGAUGAAGCCCUUCGGGGCGUAAAGCUCUUUCGACCGGAACGAUAAUGACGGUACCGGGAGAAGAAGCUGCGGCUAACUACGUGCCAGCAGCCGCGGUAAUACGUAGGCAGCACGCGUUGUUCGGAGUUACUGGGCGUAAAGAGUGCGUAGGCGGUUUUCUAAGUUCGGUGUGAAAUCUCCCGGCUUAACUGGGAGGGUGCGCCGAAGACUGGGAAGCUGGAGUGUGGGCAAGGCAGGCGGAAUUCCUGGUGUAGCGGUGAAAUGCGUAGAUAUCAGGAGGAACACCGGCGGUGUAGACGGCUUGCUAGACCAUAACUGACGCUGAGGCACGAAAGCGUGGGUAGCAAACA
This 402-nucleotide ribosomal RNA is filed under the name uncultured bacterium. RNAcentral describes it as "bacterial SSU rRNA". It matches the Rfam family "Bacterial small subunit ribosomal RNA", at positions 355 to 774 of the family's 1533-position model. The record is from RNAcentral.